Molecule: transfer RNA, 72 nt
Filed under: Ovis aries (sheep)
Lineage: Eukaryota; Metazoa; Chordata; Mammalia; Artiodactyla; Bovidae
Rfam family: tRNA
About the family: Transfer RNA (tRNA) molecules are approximately 80 nucleotides in length. Their secondary structure includes four short double-helical elements and three loops (D, anti-codon, and T loops). Further hydrogen bonds mediate the characteristic L-shaped molecular structure. tRNAs have two regions of fundamental functional importance: the anti-codon, which is responsible for specific mRNA codon recognition, and the 3' end, to which the tRNAs corresponding amino acid is attached (by aminoacyl-tRNA synthetases). tRNAs cope with the degeneracy of the genetic code in two manners: having more than one tRNA (with a specific anti-codon) for a particular amino acid; and 'wobble' base-pairing, i.e. permitting non-standard base-pairing at the 3rd anti-codon position.
Source: Rfam by way of RNAcentral
UCCUUGGUGGCCCAGUGGUUAGGACUUGGCACUUUCACUGCUGAGGCUCAGGUUCAGUCCCUGCUUGGGGAA